Molecule: long non-coding RNA, 1085 nt
Organism: Mytilus trossulus (common blue mussel)
Lineage: Eukaryota; Metazoa; Mollusca; Bivalvia; Mytilida; Mytilidae
Exons: 3
Source: RefSeq, a predicted model, not a curated record
AAUAACAUUUAUUUAUUGAAUGUAAGCACCUGAACCUUUAUAUUAAAGGUUUACAAGUGAUUACAAUACAUGUUUUUGCAAUUACAGACUGUCGUGGGUGGUGAAAAAUUUGUCAUGUUGACGCAAUAGAUCAUUUUUACACCCGUAUUAAAUAAUUACGGAUGUCGGCCGUGAACACACAGGCACUUGUCUCAGAAAAUAAAUUUCCUAUAUACCUUAUUAUAAUAAGGUAUAUAGGAAUUUUUUUUUCUGAGACAAGUGCCUGUGCGUGAACACUUGAAAACGCGUGAUCUUAAUAAUUAUGUUUAAUUAAAUUUAAGAUGUAACAUUUUUUAAUAUUGUAAAUGAAUGCAUUCAUUUAACUUUUAAUGUUGGCUAUAUAAAUUGCAUUUGAGUGAGGCAGGGAAAAAUAUAUAUAUAUAACUAGAAUCUAUGUCUUUUCUCGUUUUCCGUUUACUGUCAUGUCAUUGUCCAUUCAUUUUUGCCAGACUCAUGCGUUUGACUUUCCAUCUUUAUUUUUCACUUAGUCUAUAAUUCGAGAGCCUUUUAUAAAAAAAAUAUUACACACCAGAAGACUUUGUUAAAAGAUAAAGUUUGAAUAUUAUAGCAGAAAAAGGCCAGUGUACCUGAAGUACAUUUGAAGACCAGGUUAUAUAUAUUACAUGAAUACAGCAUAAUAAAGCUGGUUUAAUUUGAAUUACUAUCCAUUAGGGAAAUUUUCUGACGAUAAUUAAUCAAAUCUGACAAGUUUGAUUAAAAACGGAAAAUAAGCCCGUAAACGAUUUAACGUUACCGUACCCUCUUUACUUGUCGCAUGUCGGCAUCUUCAAAUGGCAAAUUUAUUUUACACAAAUUCGUUGACAUGCCAUGAUGGUAGAUGGACACUACAGCACAAUAUAAGCUGAGCUGGAAAUUACAAUUGAUAAGAUAUCACAUUGGUUUGAGCAUGAUUCCCAGCAAGAUUAUGAAGGGGCAUAUAUAUCAUAUAUACAUAGGAAAUAUAUAGUGUCACUAAAUUACUCUCAUACGGUACCUCACCUCUGUAGCUGUAAAUUGCGAAACGGUGCAUUCAUUCAUAAUUUUGA